This 451-nucleotide ribosomal RNA is filed under the name uncultured organism. RNAcentral describes it as "partial 16S ribosomal RNA". It matches the Rfam family "Bacterial small subunit ribosomal RNA", at positions 333 to 800 of the family's 1533-position model. The record is from RNAcentral.
UAACUCCUACGGGAGGCAGCAGUGGGGAAUAUUGGACAAUGGGCGCAAGCCUGAUCCAGCCAUGCCGCGUGAGUGAUGAAGGCCCUAGGGUUGUAAAGAUCUUUCACCGGUGAAGAUAAUGACGGUAACCGGAGAAGAAGCCCCGGCUAACUUCGUGCCAGCAGCCGCGGUAAUACGAAGGGGGCUAGCGUUGUUCGGAUUUACUGGGCGUAAAGCGCACGUAGGCGGACUAUUAAGUCAGGGGUGAAAUCCCGGGGCUCAACCCCGGAACUGCCUUUGAUACUGGUAGUCUUGAGUUCGAGAGAGGUGAGUGGAAUUCCGAGUGUAGAGGUGAAAUUCGUAGAUAUUCGGAGGAACACCAGUGGCGAAGGCGGCUCACUGGCUCGAUACUGACGCUGAGGUGCGAAAGCGUGGGGAGCAAACAGGAUUAGAAACCCCUGGAGUCCCAUGA